RNAcentral lists this ribosomal RNA (437 nucleotides) under uncultured bacterium. Its description in RNAcentral is "bacterial SSU rRNA". It matches the Rfam family "Bacterial small subunit ribosomal RNA", at positions 28 to 507 of the family's 1533-position model. The record is from RNAcentral.
GAUGAACGCUGGCGGUAUGCCUAACACAUGCAAGUCGUACGAGAGUUUUUAACUCUAGUGGCGGACGGGUGAGUAACACGUGAGAAUUUGCCUUUAGGAGGGGGAUAACAAUUGGAAACGAAUGCUAAUACCCCAUAUGCUUUUGAGUGAAAUGGAUUUUAUCCGCCUAGAGAGAAGCUCGCGGCUGAUUAGCUUGUUGGUAAGGUAAGAGCUUACCAAGGCGACGAUCAGUAUCUGGUUUGAGAGGACGAUCAGCCACACUGGGACUGAGACACGGCCCAGACUCCUACGGGAGGCAGCAGUGGGGAAUAUUGGACAAUGGGCGAAAGCCUGAUCCAGCAAUGCCGCGUGAGUGAUGAAGGCCUUAGGGUUGUAAAGCUCUUUUACCAGGGAUGAUAAUGACAGUACCUGGAGAAUAAGCUCCGGCUAACUCCGUG